GAUGAACGCUGGCGGCGUGCCUAAUACAUGCAAGUCGAGCGAACAGACGAGGAGCUUGCUCCUCUGACGUUAGCGGCGGACGGGUGAGUAACACGUGGAUAACCUACCUAUAAGACUGGGAUAACUUCGGGAAACCGGAGCUAAUACCGGAUAAUAUAUUGAACCGCAUGGUUCAAUAGUGAAAGACGGUUUUGCUGUCACUUAUAGAUGGAUCCGCGCCGCAUUAGCUAGUUGGUAAGGUAACGGCUUACCAAGGCAGCGAUGCGUAGCCGACCUGAGAGGGUGAUCGGCCACACUGGAACUGAGACACGGUCCAGACUCCUACGGGAGGCAGCAGUAGGGAAUCUUCCGCGAUGGGCGAAAGCCUGACGGAGCAACGCCGCGUGAGUGAUGAAGGUCUUCGGAUCGUAAAACUCUGUUAUUAGGGAAGAACAAAUGUGUAAGUAACUAUGCACGUCUUGACGGUACCUAAUCAGAAAGCCACGGCUAACUACGUG
Molecule: ribosomal RNA, 497 nt
Filed under: uncultured bacterium
Lineage: Bacteria
Description: partial 16S ribosomal RNA
Rfam family: Bacterial small subunit ribosomal RNA
Source: RNAcentral